Molecule: ribosomal RNA, 402 nt
Filed under: uncultured Variibacter sp.
Lineage: Bacteria; Pseudomonadati; Pseudomonadota; Alphaproteobacteria; Hyphomicrobiales; Nitrobacteraceae
Description: bacterial SSU rRNA
Rfam family: Bacterial small subunit ribosomal RNA
Source: RNAcentral
AGUGGGGAAUAUUGGACAAUGGGCGCAAGCCUGAUCCAGCCAUGCCGCGUGAGUGAUGAAGGCCUUAGGGUUGUAAAGCUCUUUCGUCAGGGAAGAUAAUGACGGUACCUGAAGAAGAAGCCCCGGCUAACUUCGUGCCAGCAGCCGCGGUAAUACGAAGGGGGCUAGCGUUGCUCGGAAUCACUGGGCGUAAAGCGCACGUAGGCGGCUUUCUAAGUCAGGGGUGAAAUCCCGGAGCUCAACUCCGGAACUGCCUUUGAUACUGGAAAGCUUGAGUUCGGGAGAGGUGAGUGGAACUGCGAGUGUAGAGGUGAAAUUCGUAGAUAUUCGCAAGAACACCAGUGGCGAAGGCGGCUCACUGGCCCGAUACUGACGCUGAGGUGCGAAAGCGUGGGGAGCAAA